RNAcentral lists this ribosomal RNA (66 nucleotides) under Vibrio alginolyticus. Lineage: Bacteria; Pseudomonadati; Pseudomonadota; Gammaproteobacteria; Vibrionales; Vibrionaceae. RNAcentral also lists the same sequence under 2 other names. The record is from RNAcentral.
CUUGGCGACCAUAGCGUUUUGGACCCACCUGAUUUCCAUGCCGAACUCAGAAGUGAAACGAAAUAG